GGAGAGAUGGCUGAGUGGUCGAAAGCGGCUGAUUUGAAAUCAGUUGAACUUAAUUGUUCCGGGGGUUCGAAUCCCUCUCUCUCCU
RNAcentral lists this transfer RNA (85 nucleotides) under Aureoumbra lagunensis. Its description in RNAcentral is "tRNA-Ser". It matches the Rfam family "tRNA". Rfam says of the family: Transfer RNA (tRNA) molecules are approximately 80 nucleotides in length. The record is from RNAcentral. Lineage: Eukaryota; Pelagophyceae; Sarcinochrysidales; Sarcinochrysidaceae.